Molecule: ribosomal RNA, 484 nt
Filed under: uncultured bacterium
Lineage: Bacteria
Description: partial 16S ribosomal RNA
Rfam family: Bacterial small subunit ribosomal RNA
Source: RNAcentral
GAUGAACGCUGGCGGCGUGCUUAACACAUGCAAGUCGAACGGAAAGGCCCAAGCUUGCUUGGGUACUCGAGUGGCGAACGGGUGAGUAACACGUGGGUGAUCUGCCCUGCACUUCGGGAUAAGCCUGGGAAACUGGGUCUAAUACCGGAUAGGACGAUGGUUUGGAUGCCAUUGUGGAAAGUUUUUUCGGUGUGGGAUGAGCUCGCGGCCUAUCAGCUUGUUGGUGGGGUAAUGGCCUACCAAGGCGUCGACGGGUAGCCGGCCUGAGAGGGUGUACGGCCACAUUGGGACUGAGAUACGGCCCAGACUCCUACGGGAGGCAGCAGUGGGGAAUAUUGCACAAUGGGCGCAAGCCUGAUGCAGCGACGCCGCGUGGGGGAUGACGGCCUUCGGGUUGUAAACUCCUUUCGCUAGGGACGAAGCGUUUUUGUGACGGUACCUGGAGAAGAAGCACCGGCUAACUACGUGCCAGCCGCCGCCGUAA